Long non-coding RNA from Anolis carolinensis (green anole), 2277 nucleotides. The record is from Ensembl. Lineage: Eukaryota; Metazoa; Chordata; Lepidosauria; Squamata; Anolidae.
GUCAUUGGCACCAGAGACUCAGGACUGAAUUACUGCACUGAUUCUGUCAGGUCCAACAUCAAAUAUGGCUACUUCGUGUUAGGAGAGCAGGAGGUAACCUUCUGGGAUGUUACACCACAGGAGGACAUGAUCCUUAUUAUCCGCUUUUACCACUGGCCUAGUGGGAGAACGGCGCCUGCCCCUUGGGACAAAGGAGCCAAGCCUCAGCCCCAGCCACUAGUGGGCAGCGAACAAUGGCUAGCUGCUUGGGCUGUGCUCAGGUUGACCAAGAGGUCUGAAUCCUCUAAAGUGAUGCUUGCAGGUCAAGGGCAAGAAGGAGAGCGUAGAGUGCUUGGAUGGAACACAGGGACUCACACGCUGGCUCUGUUCCAUGCUCCUGUGCCACCUGUAGUAGCCUUGUCAACAGUGUCAGCAGAACAAGAUCAGAACUUUAAGCUGUAUGGCGAUGCAACUUUGAGACUGCAUGUCUUUAGCACCCAGAAGCCUGAUCUUCCUUUCCCACCGGAAUCACCAUUUGUAUUUAACCCUGCAAAAACAUGGCCAGAUGAAGCUUUUAUUCACCAUGUCAGGGAGACACCUCCUCUUGAGUCAUUUGAUACUGGGGAUGGCUUUGACCUGUACAUCGAUGGAGCUCGCUUUCUGCCUGAUGGCAUCACGGUUACCAGAGUGACUGCUUGCAUCUUUACCAGCAAUUACAAACAGGUUGGCCCAGACAUUUACACCGACAUUGACUUGAAUAGCAACAUCUAUGAUCCAGCUUACAAUUACUCCGUUGAAAUCCGGGAACUGGUGUUAACACCAUGUGCAACUCUUCUCUUAAAGGUUUAUUCAAUUGAUCCCUUGAGCUCCAGACUCAUCCAAAUUGGCUGGGCAGCUCUCAGUCUUUUUGUGGAAUUUGGAACACUCUCAGCCCCUGAGCCUGGAACAGAGGGGAUUCGGGUCUCCUUAAAUGAUGGUGCUCAUCAGCUUCGCAUUUUUCACAACAGUCCCUGCCCAGACCAGCCUUUUUCUACCCUUUCUUUGACCUCAAAAGGACGAUAUGUGCCUUGUGCAACCCUACUGGUGCGGCUUCUCAAGGCUCCUGUAGAUUCCAGUCAUCACACUUUGCAAAGAACCAUGAUUCCUCAAACACAGUGGGUCCAGCUGGGCCUCUUCCAACUCAGGCCUGAUUAUUCUGAUGGCGUUUAUUACUCAGACUCAGCCAGACCUACUCCAGGAGAAAGUUGCCUCUAUGAGGCUAUGAUGAUGAGGUCAGUUGUUUCAGUUCGAGAGAUUAUUCAACAGCUUGUUGGACAUAAGAAGAGCUUGAACACAGAUGAGGAAAUCUUGACCUGGAUCCACAAGAAACUAAAACGGGAACCAGACAGUAGGCCACAGUCCUUCAACCUCACCUACAUCUCCAGAUACAUCCCAACAUAUGGCAUCAAGUUUGCAGUGGAUAGAGCAAUGAAUUUACCCUGGUCAGGCUUGACCACAGCCCAUUUCUGCUUCAAUCCACCUGGAGCAUUUUACUUUGGGAGAGAUUGGCUGAAAUAUGACUAUCCCAUCUUCCUUAAAGAACUUGACACAAACAGCUAUGAGAAAUGGCCUACAUGGCUCGAUGGUUUCAAGUCCUGUCCUCACAGGGUUUACUAUGAGCAUUCAACAGUUAUUAUCCACCUGUCCAGAAGAGCAGAAAGUUCAGCCCAUAUGACUGAAAACAAAAAUGCUCAGCCAAGAAAGAAAACAACCAACCCGAAGGUAGACCACUCAGAUAACACACCAAGUGAGGCGUGGACUGCUCUCCAUGUAUUUUCUACAGGUUACUGUAACACUGGCGUUUACCAAUUGCCCCUAUUCCAAGGAGCUCCUAGCAAGAUCAUGUUGGCUGCUUUAUCUCAAGGAAAAUGCAAUAGUGUGAUAAAGAACAUGCUUCAUAGACAAAUGAUCCAGGUAGUGCCAGGUGCAUCUGUGGUUGUGCGCAUUGCUGAUGGAAGAUGGGAUGGAGAAUUCAGCUAUACAUCAUUGGACAUUGAGCAAUUGUUUCUACCAAAAGAAGCAUUAGGCUUGUACAACAAGGAAGCCUCUGGAGUAAAAAUUGCAGAAUUAAUGCUACAGGAAACAUCAGAAAAACAGGUAAAAUAUGUUGCCUUUUUUGAGGAAUACAACCAUUUGCAGAGUGAACACAUACAAUUGGGGGGGGGGGAGUAUUUAGUCAGAUACCAAUUGUACAAGUUCUCCCACUUAAAAAGAUGUGAGGGGCCUGUAAUUGACAUCAUAGGUAGGCCUCAACUAUGA